Long non-coding RNA from Ipomoea triloba (trilobed morning glory), 382 nucleotides. RefSeq lists it as uncharacterized. The record is from RefSeq and is a predicted model, not a curated record. The transcript is spliced from 3 exons. Lineage: Eukaryota; Viridiplantae; Streptophyta; Magnoliopsida; Solanales; Convolvulaceae.
GUCUUACCAUCUUUGUUGUCUUCUGUGUUAAAAUGUGAAGUGAUGACUCAGAUGCAUACUUUACAAACAAUAAACAAAGUAGUUAAGUUUGUGGCUUGCCUGAGAAUAAUGUUAUGAAAAGCUUUGCUGCUGAUAAGGAAAGGGCUAACAAUGUUGCAAAGAUCAAAGUAGUGGUGCGAAAGAGACCACUAAACAAAAAAGAAUUGAUGAAGAAUGAGGAAGACAUAAUAGAAACUCUACCCAACUCAUUAAUAGUUAUGAGACAAAGCUUAAGGGAGAUCAAAGUUCUCCAGGUAUAGUUCCGUUGGCAAUAAAGGAUGUUUUUAGCAUUAUUCAAGAUGUAAGUGCUUUCAAUUUCACCUUUUCAUGAAAUCUGUACCCA